Apteryx haastii (Great spotted kiwi) is the source of this 185-nucleotide unclassified non-coding RNA. The record is from Ensembl. Lineage: Eukaryota; Metazoa; Chordata; Aves; Apterygiformes; Apterygidae.
UUGACAGCUUUAGAAACUGGAGCCUUUUGUUCAUCCACAGAACAGAUACAGCACAAGCAGCCGUUCUGGGAGUUUCCUCACAAUAUGCUUCAGCCUGGCUUUUGGAGGGCCCACUUUUCCAUGGCGUUUGAGUAGCCAGUGAGGAAGCUCAUUUGGAUUCUCUGACUAGGCUGUACUGUGGUGCC